This 428-nucleotide ribosomal RNA is filed under the name uncultured bacterium. RNAcentral describes it as "bacterial SSU rRNA". It matches the Rfam family "Bacterial small subunit ribosomal RNA", at positions 184 to 603 of the family's 1533-position model. The record is from RNAcentral.
CGGGGGAUCCUUGAGUUUUUUUAAGGACCUCGCGCUAAAAGAUGAGCCUGCGUCGGAUUAGUUAGUUGGUGGGGUAAUAGCCCACCAAGACGAUGAUCCGUAGCUGGUCUGAGAGGAUGAUCAGCCACACUGGGACUGAGACACGGCCCAGACUCCUAUGGGAGGCAGCAGUGGGGAAUAUUGGACAAUGGGGGAAACCCUGAUCCAGCAAUGCCGCGUGUGUGAAGAAGGCCUUCGGGUUGUAAAGCACUUUCAGCAGGAAAGAAAGUCUUAAAGUCAAUACCUUUAAUGACUUGACGUCACCUGCAGAAGAAGCACUGGCUAACUCUGUGCCAUCAGCCGCGGUAAUACAGAGAGUGACACCGUUACUCGGAAUUACUGGGCGUAACCCGCGCGUACGUGGAUAUUACCGUCGGGUGUGAAAGCCC